This 512-nucleotide ribosomal RNA is filed under the name uncultured Diversispora. RNAcentral describes it as "SSU rRNA". It matches the Rfam family "Eukaryotic small subunit ribosomal RNA", at positions 569 to 1081 of the family's 1831-position model. Lineage: Eukaryota; Fungi; Glomeromycota; Glomeromycetes; Diversisporales; Diversisporaceae. The record is from RNAcentral.
AGCAGCCGCGGUAAUUCCAGCUCCAAUAGCGUAUAUUAAAGUUGUUGCAGUUAAAAAGCUCGUAGUUGAACUUCGGGGUUCACCCAUUGGUCAGGCUUAAUUGUCUGCACUGGUGAGAUGAAUCUCUACCUUCUGAGGAACUUUCAUGCCAUUUAUUUGGUGUGAUUGGAAAUCAGGACUGUUACUUUGAAAAAUUAGAGUGUUUAAAGCAGGCUAACGUCUGAAUACAUUAGUAUGGAAUAAUGAAAUAGGACGGAUUGAUUCUAUUUCGUUGGUUUCUAGGAUCACCGUAAUGAUUAAUAGGGAUAGUUGGGGGCAUUAGUAUUCAAUUGUCAGAGGUGAAAUUCUUGGAUUUAUUGAAGACUAACUACUGCGAAAGCAUUUGCCAAGGAUGUUUUCAUUAAUCAAGACGAAAGUAGGGGAUCGAAGACGAUCAGAUACCGUCGUAGUCUUAACCAUAAACUAUGUCCGACUAGGGAUCGGACGCAGUUAAUUUUAUAAUGACGUGUUAC